GAUUAUGAGAGUUUGAUCCUGGCUCAGGACGAACGCUGGCGGCGUGCCUAAUACAUGCAAGUCGAACGCUUCUUUUUCCACCGGAGCUUGCUCCACCGGAAAAAGAGGAGUGGCGAACGGGUGAGUAACACGUGGGUAACCUGCCCAUCAGAAGGGGAUAACACUUGGAAACAGGUGCUAAUACCGUAUAACAAUCGAAACCGCAUGGUUUUGAUUUGAAAGGCGCUUUCGGGUGUCGCUGAUGGAUGGACCCGCGGUGCAUUAGCUAGUUGGUGAGGUAACGGCUCACCAAGGCCACGAUGCAUAGCCGACCUGAGAGGGUGAUCGGCCACAUUGGGACUGAGACACGGCCCAAACUCCUACGGGAGGCAGCAGUAGGGAAUCUUCGGCAAUGGACGAAAGUCUGACCGAGCAACGCCGCGUGAGUGAAGAAGGUUUUCGGAUCGUAAAACUCUGUUGUUAGAGAAGAACAAGGAUGAGAGUAACUGUUCAUCCCUUGACGGUAUCUAACCAGAAAGCCACGGCUAACUACGUGCCAGCAGCCGCGGUAAUACGUAGGUGGCAAGCGUUGUCCGGAUUUAUUGGGCGUAAAGCGAGCGCAGGCGGUUUCUUAAGUCUGAUGUGAAAGCCCCCGGCUCAACCGGGGAGGGUCAUUGGAAACUGGGAGACUUGAGUGCAGAAGAGGAGAGUGGAAUUCCAUGUGUAGCGGUGAAAUGCGUAGAUAUAUGGAGGAACACCAGUGGCGAAGGCGGCUCUCUGGUCUGUAACUGACGCUGAGGCUCGAAAGCGUGGGGAGCAAACAGGAUUAGAUACCCUGGUAGUCCACGCCGUAAACGAUGAGUGCUAAGUGUUGGAGGGUUUCCGCCCUUCAGUGCUGCAGCUAACGCAUUAAGCACUCCGCCUGGGGAGUACGACCGCAAGGUUGAAACUCAAAGGAAUUGACGGGGGCCCGCACAAGCGGUGGAGCAUGUGGUUUAAUUCGAAGCAACGCGAAGAACCUUACCAGGUCUUGACAUCCUUUGACCACUCUAGAGAUAGAGCUUCCCCUUCGGGGGCAAAGUGACAGGUGGUGCAUGGUUGUCGUCAGCUCGUGUCGUGAGAUGUUGGGUUAAGUCCCGCAACGAGCGCAACCCUUAUUGUUAGUUGCCAUCAUUCAGUUGGGCACUCUAGCAAGACUGCCGGUGACAAACCGGAGGAAGGUGGGGAUGACGUCAAAUCAUCAUGCCCCUUAUGACCUGGGCUACACACGUGCUACAAUGGGAAGUACAACGAGUCGCGAAGUCGCGAGGCUAAGCUAAUCUCUUAAAGCUUCUCUCAGUUCGGAUUGCAGGCUGCAACUCGCCUGCAUGAAGCCGGAAUCGCUAGUAAUCGCGGAUCAGCACGCCGCGGUGAAUACGUUCCCGGGCCUUGUACACACCGCCCGUCACACCACGAGAGUUUGUAACACCCGAAGUCGGUGAGGUAACCUUUUGGAGCCAGCCGCCUAAGGUGGGAUAGAUGAUUGGGGUGAAGUCGUAACAAGGUAGCCGUAUCGGAAGGUGCGGCUGGAUCACCUCCUUU
This 1560-nucleotide ribosomal RNA is filed under the name Enterococcus faecium. RNAcentral describes it as "bacterial SSU rRNA". It matches the Rfam family "Bacterial small subunit ribosomal RNA". Lineage: Bacteria; Bacillati; Bacillota; Bacilli; Lactobacillales; Enterococcaceae. The record is from RNAcentral.